GUGCGCAAAGAAAAAACAAAGCCUUUUAGUGAUUUUGAAUUACGACUCGAUGAUGAGGUUGAACGUAAAUCCGUCCUUCGUUCUUGAUUCUUCACUUUUGAAUGAAAUGAUUUCGCGAAUUCGUCUCGGUUGAUUAUGCAUCAACGGUGUAGAAACGACUUGAGGAGAGUGUUGAAUCGUGUUCAUGCAUGGCAAUGUGAGUGGCUCAUUGGCCGAGCGUGCGUUUUAUGCAAGAACAGAGUUCUUGGCGGCGUGCAUUGGCCGGGUUUAU
RNAcentral lists this long non-coding RNA (271 nucleotides) under Lathyrus oleraceus (garden pea). RNAcentral's name for it is "Pisum sativum (pea) long non-coding RNA (PSAT_LNC007813)". Lineage: Eukaryota; Viridiplantae; Streptophyta; Magnoliopsida; Fabales; Fabaceae. The record is from RNAcentral.